UUCCAGACUCCUACGGGAGGCAGCAGUGGGGAAUAUUGCACAAUGGGGGAAACCCUGAUGCAGCGACGCCGCGUGAGUGAAGAAGUAUUUCGGUAUGUAAAGCUCUAUCAGCAGGGAAGAAAAUGACGGUACCUGAUUAAGAAGCCCCGGCUAACUACGUGCCAGCAGCCGCGGUAAUACGUAGGGGGCAAGCGUUAUCCGGAUUUACUGGGUGUAAAGGGAGCGUAGACGGUGAUGCAAGUCAGAAGUGAAAGCCCGGGGCUCAACUCCGGGACUGCUUUUGAAACUGUGUGACUGGAGUGCAGGAGAGGUAAGCGGAAUUCCUGGUGUAGCGGUGAAAUGCGUAGAUAUCAGGAGGAACACCAGUGGCGAAGGCGGCUUACUGGACUGUAACUGACGUUGAGGCUCGAAAGCGUGGGGAGCAAACAGGAUUAGAUACCCCAGUAAC
Molecule: ribosomal RNA, 448 nt
Filed under: uncultured bacterium
Lineage: Bacteria
Description: bacterial SSU rRNA
Rfam family: Bacterial small subunit ribosomal RNA
Source: RNAcentral